This 421-nucleotide unclassified non-coding RNA is filed under the name soil metagenome. Its description in RNAcentral is "partial contains 5.8S ribosomal RNA, internal transcribed spacer 2, and large subunit ribosomal RNA". The stretch from base 1 to 120 matches the Rfam family "5.8S ribosomal RNA", at positions 35 to 154 of the family's 154-position model. The record is from RNAcentral.
GAUGAAGAACGCAGCGAAAUGCGAUAAGUAAUGUGAAUUGCAGAAUUCAGUGAAUCAUCGAAUCUUUGAACGCACCUUGCGCUCCUUGGUAUUCCUUGGAGCAUGCCUGUUUGAGUAUCAUGAAAUCUUCAAAGUCAAACCUUUUGUUAAUUCAAUUGGUUCUGCUUUGGUAUUGGAGGAUUAUUGCAGCUUCACACCUGCUCCUCUUUGUGCAUUAGCUGGAUCUCAGUGUUAUGCUUGGUUCCACUCAGCGUGAUAAGUUAUCUAUCGCUGAGGACACCCUGUUAAAAAGGGGUGGCCAAGGUAAAUGCAGAUGAACCGCUUCUAAUAGUCCAUUGACUUGGACAAUAUCUAAUUUAUGAUCUGAUCUCAAAUCAGGUAGGACUACCCGCUGAACUUAAGCAUAUCAAUAAGCGGAGGA